RNAcentral lists this long non-coding RNA (216 nucleotides) under Drosophila guanche. The record is from RNAcentral. Lineage: Eukaryota; Metazoa; Arthropoda; Insecta; Diptera; Drosophilidae.
GUUGAGUCCUAGAGGGGGUUGAUGUGUGUUCGAGGAGGGGGACUGCUUCAAAGAUUGCUGGCAAUUUGUACACGAUGUUUUUGGGAGUACUAGCGGGGGGUAGGAGGGGUAUGCUAAGAGUCCACCCUGUAAGCCCAAAGAGAUAUUUAGAUACAUAAUGUUGACUUAUUUUACUGGGAAAUACACAUCACACAUGCACACACAAGUACUUACGAG